CCUGGCGGCCAUAGCGCGGUGGUCCCACCUGAUCCCAUGCCGAACUCAGAAGUGAAACGCCGUAGCGCCGAUGGUAGUGUGGGGUCUCCCC
RNAcentral lists this ribosomal RNA (91 nucleotides) under Yersinia pestis. The record is from RNAcentral. Lineage: Bacteria; Pseudomonadati; Pseudomonadota; Gammaproteobacteria; Enterobacterales; Yersiniaceae.